Long non-coding RNA from Amphimedon queenslandica, 358 nucleotides. RefSeq lists it as uncharacterized. The transcript has 3 exons. The record is from RefSeq and is a predicted model, not a curated record. NCBI's taxonomy places the organism in Eukaryota, Metazoa, Porifera, Demospongiae, Haplosclerida, Niphatidae.
UCAAAUCAGUUCCUCUUGUGUUAAAAUACUCAUAAAGCUCUUGAAGCCACACCCACCAAAGCCAACAGAAGAGGAUAAGAAUGACGAAGGAGAGACUAAAGAAGGAGAGAGCCCAAGCACUAGAGAACAAAGUCUGGAGGCUGAACUAGUGAUGCCUCCACCCACUGCUCCUCUUGCUAAUCAAGAACACCAGGAACAAGUAGUAGCUCUUGCUCAGCCUUCAGUACCUAACCUUCAAGCUGUUCUAUCUAAUCCUCAAGCAGCAGUGCAACAAAUAAUGGCCAAUCCUAACCUGUUAGGUAUAAUGCCUGAUGAAGAAGCCAUGAUGAACUUUGCUAUUGCAAUCAGUCUACAUGAC